UACCAGCACCCCGAGUGGUCGGGACGAUUAUUGGGUCUAAAGCAUCCGUAGCUUGUCCUGCAAGUCUUCCGUUAAAUCCACCUGCUCAACAGAUGGGCCGCGGGGGAUACUACAGGGCUAGGAGGCGGGAGAGGCAAACGGUACUCAGUGGGUAGGGGUAAAAUCCACUGAUCCACUGAAGACCACCAGUGGCGAAGGCGGUUUGCCAGAACGCGCUCGACGGUGAGGGAUGAAAGCUGGGGGAGCAAACCGG
This 253-nucleotide ribosomal RNA is filed under the name uncultured bacterium. RNAcentral describes it as "partial 16S ribosomal RNA". It matches the Rfam family "Archaeal small subunit ribosomal RNA", at positions 474 to 727 of the family's 1478-position model. The record is from RNAcentral.